GCGCCCGUAGCUCAGUUGGAUAGAGCAACGGACUUCUAAUCCGUAGGUCGCAGGUUCGAAUCCUGCCGGGCGUACCA
This 77-nucleotide transfer RNA is filed under the name bacterium. RNAcentral's name for it is "tRNA-Arg". It matches the Rfam family "tRNA". From Rfam's summary of the family: Transfer RNA (tRNA) molecules are approximately 80 nucleotides in length. Their secondary structure includes four short double-helical elements and three loops (D, anti-codon, and T loops). Further hydrogen bonds mediate the characteristic L-shaped molecular structure. tRNAs have two regions of fundamental functional importance: the anti-codon, which is responsible for specific mRNA codon recognition, and the 3' end, to which the tRNAs corresponding amino acid is attached (by aminoacyl-tRNA synthetases). tRNAs cope with the degeneracy of the genetic code in two manners: having more than one tRNA (with a specific anti-codon) for a particular amino acid; and 'wobble' base-pairing, i.e. permitting non-standard base-pairing at the 3rd anti-codon position. RNAcentral also lists the same sequence under 7 other names. The record is from RNAcentral.